UGGGUAACCUGCCUUAUAGUGGGGGAUAGCCUUUCGAAAGGAAGAUUAAUACCGCAUAAGAUUGUAGUAUCGCAUGAUAUAGCAAUUAAAGGAGCAAUUCGCUAUAAGAUGGACCCGCGUCGCAUUAGCUAGUUGGUGAGGUAAUGGCUCACCAAGGCGACGAUGCGUAGCCGGCCUGAGAGGGUGAUCGGCCACAUUGGGACUGAGACACGGCCCAGACUCCUACGGGAGGCAGCAUG
This 239-nucleotide ribosomal RNA is filed under the name uncultured bacterium. RNAcentral describes it as "partial 16S ribosomal RNA". It matches the Rfam family "Bacterial small subunit ribosomal RNA", at positions 118 to 353 of the family's 1533-position model. The record is from RNAcentral.